GACGAACGCUGGCGGCGUGCCUAAUACAUGCAAGUAGAACGCUGAAGGAGGAGCUUGCUCUUCUGGAUGAGUUGCGAACGGGUGAGUAACGCGUAGGUAACCUGCCUGGUAGCGGGGGAUAACUAUUGGAAACGAUAGCUAAUACCGCAUAAGAGUAGAUGUUGCAUGACAUUUGCUUAAAAGGUGCAAUUGCAUCACUACCAGAUGGACCUGCGUUGUAUUAGCUAGUUGGUGGGGUAACGGCUCACCAAGGCGACGAUACAUGGCCGACCUGAGAGGGUGAUCGGCCACACUGGGACUGAGACACGGCCCAGACUCCUACGGGAGGCAGCAGUAGGGAAUCUUCGGCAAUGGACGGAAGUCUGACCGAGCAACGCCGCGUGAGUGAAGAAGGUUUUCGGAUCGUAAAGCUCUGUUGUAAGAGAAGAACGAGUGUGAGAGUGGAAAGUUCACACUGUGACGGUAUCUUACCAGAAAGAGACGGCUAACUACGUG
Molecule: ribosomal RNA, 495 nt
Filed under: uncultured bacterium
Lineage: Bacteria
Description: partial 16S ribosomal RNA
Rfam family: Bacterial small subunit ribosomal RNA
Source: RNAcentral